UGAGUAACCUGCCCUUCACUCUGGGAUAACUCCGGGAAACCGGGCUAAUACUGGAUAUGACUCGAACAGGCAUCUGUUUCGGGUGGAAAGAUUUAUUGGUGGAGGAUGGACUCGCGGCCUAUCAGCUUGUUGGUGAGGUAAUGGCUCACCAAGGCAACGAUGCGUAGCCGACCUGAGAGGGUNAUCGGCCACAUUGGAACUGAGACACGGUCCAGACCUCCGUACGGGAGCA
This 232-nucleotide ribosomal RNA is filed under the name uncultured bacterium. RNAcentral describes it as "partial 16S ribosomal RNA". It matches the Rfam family "Bacterial small subunit ribosomal RNA", at positions 118 to 347 of the family's 1533-position model. The record is from RNAcentral.